AUUGAACGCUGGCGGCAUGCCUUACACAUGCAAGUCGAACGGCAGCGGGGACUUCGGUCCGCCGGCGAGUGGCGAACGGGUGAGUAAUGUAUCGGAACGUACCAUUCAGUGGGGGAUAACUAUCCGAAACGAUAGCUAAUACCGCAUAUUCUGUGAGCAGGACAGCAGGGGAUCGCCAGACCUCGCGCUGAUUGAGCGGCCGAUAUCCGAUUAGCUAGUUGGUGAGGUAACGGCUCACCAGGGCUACGAUCUGUAGCGGGUCUGAGAGGAUGAUCCGCCACACUGGGACUGAGACACGGCCCAGACUCCUACGGGAGGCAGCAGUGGGGAAUUUUGGACAAUGGGCGCAAGCCUGAUCCAGCCAUGCCGCGUGAGUGAAGAAGGCCUCCGGGUUGUAAAGCUCUUUCGGCCGGGAAGAAAUCGCAUCAGCUAAUACCUGGUGUGGAUGACGGUACCGGAAUAAGAAGCACCGGCUAACUACGUGCCAGCCGCCGCGGUAA
This 500-nucleotide ribosomal RNA is filed under the name uncultured bacterium. Its description in RNAcentral is "partial 16S ribosomal RNA". It matches the Rfam family "Bacterial small subunit ribosomal RNA", at positions 30 to 523 of the family's 1533-position model. The record is from RNAcentral.